GCUGUCUGUAGUCUUUGCAAGCUCACCCCUCUUUCACCAAUACAGACUUUCAGUCCACUCAGAGGUUUCUCACUAAGACUCUUUAAUGUUUGAGCUGUGAGUGCGCAGACACACACGAUCGCGGGUUUCCAGCUGUAUAAAGUGAUAGCGUGAUAGAAGCACUGGGCGGGAUGGAUAAAUUGGAGUGAUGGAGAGUCAGACAGGGAGUGACAGAUUGGAAUUAUAGGAAGAUUGGUAUGGCUGGGAGUGCCUUACCCAUUCAACAAUAUUGGAAUCCAAACUUAAAGAUUGCAGUUUAUUGAUAAGCCUUCUAUGUGCAAGAGUGUCAAAGGAAACGUAUAAAAGACUGUUAAAUGAUCCCACACAAAUAUUUAAUAGAAGAUUAAAAUAAUUUUUGGAGGCAGCCAAAGAGGAGAAAGUUAUCUCCAGGAAGAAUUUUGAUUUCUUAUGGUGCAAAGCCCCAGUUAUCCCAAUUUUUUACUUUAUC
Molecule: non-coding RNA, 487 nt
Organism: Pelobates cultripes (western spadefoot toad)
Lineage: Eukaryota; Metazoa; Chordata; Amphibia; Anura; Pelobatidae
Source: the annotation of a GenBank genome assembly